GACGAACGCUGGCGGCGUGCCUAACACAUGCAAGUCGAACGGAGUACCCUUCGGGGUGCUUAGUGGCGAACGGGUGAGUAACGCGUGAAGAACCUGCCUUUCAGUGGGGGACAACAGUUGGAAACGACUGCUAAUACCGCAUAAGCGCACAGGACCGCAUGGUCUGGUGUGAAAAACUCCGGUGGUAUACGAUGGACCCGCGUCUGAUUAGCUAGUUGGUAAGGUAACGGCUUACCAAGGCGACGAUCAGUAGCCGGCCUGAGAGGGUGAACGGCCACAUUGGAACUGAGACACGGUCCAAACUCCUACGGGAGGCAGCAGUGGGGGAAUAUUGCACAAUGGGGGAAACCCUGAUGCAGCGACGCCGCGUGAGUGAAGAAGG
This 382-nucleotide ribosomal RNA is filed under the name uncultured bacterium. RNAcentral describes it as "bacterial SSU rRNA". It matches the Rfam family "Bacterial small subunit ribosomal RNA", at positions 28 to 414 of the family's 1533-position model. The record is from RNAcentral.